AUCUUCUUAUCUUAGGGUAACAACUAUCAUUCUAUCAAAUCCUUCGCUGUGAAUUCGAGAGAAACUGAAUCGUGAAUGUUGUUUGGUUUUUUUAUCUUUUCUUUUUGAUAUCAAAUUUGAUUACGUACUUUGAUUUUCAUUUCGGUUAUGGUGUUGUUUGGCUGCAGUGAAAGAGAGUAUCAGAGAGGAGGCGAGAUCGCGUGGUACGUAGAUGGUGAUAAGAUUGUGAGGUACAUAAUGUUUGAGGUAUUGAUGUGAAGUGUACAUAUUAUCGCGAAUUGCAAAAUUGCAAAGGAGGAACGCAGAGCAGCCGUUGGGUUUUGAUUGAAAAAAGGGAAAAGUGGCCUUCAUAGGCUAAUUUGAACAAGAAUGAGCUAGCCAUACAUGGAUUGAUGCCUAGUGAAUUUGCUGAGGAUUCUGACAGCUAGAAAUCAGCUGCUCAAAACUAUUGGUCACUCCUUUGACCUCUAAUAGUUUCUGAUCAUCCAAAGAGGCUUGGUGACGAGGACUUCGCCACCUUACAACAUGUUCAGAAAUAUUUUAGACAUGAAUGCUAAUUUCGGCGGCUUUAACUGUGCAUUAUUGCAAGCAAGAAAGUCUGUGUGGGUCUGCAUUUGGAAGAGCAGGAAGCGGCACCAGUGGAAUGAUAUGCAUGGACAUACAACAUCAGAUGCAGACAUAUCGUUCAUAAGCUCUGGGAGCCCAAACAGUGUUUGUUCAUCCUCUAUUUACUAUUACAUGGACUCCGCUUGAACUUCACGAGUUUCUACCAGUUCAGAUCCUAGCUUUAAAUCCAAUCGAUCGAGACUCAAGUUCAAUGACCCCGGUUCACCGGAUACCUCCUUUUCACUUGAAAGCGGUAGAAUAUAGGUAUCUAAGUAUAGUUUAUUCUGUUUGACAUAUGUCUGCUGUCAUGAAAUAGAAAAUUGUUAGGCUUUGAAAAAAAUGUAUUCUUUUAUGGGAUGAUGACGACAGUAUUUGCUAUAUCUGUUUCUAGAUAUUUGGACCAUUGGUAAGAUCACCUUAGCACUACAUGCUAUUGCAGAAGUACAUAUAAUUUGUCUAGAGUUUUCCCAGUAUUUGAUUUUCUAGUUAUCGGUCGGAAUCAAUGUUGUUUAUGUUUGUGCCGAAGUUAGGAGACAAUGCAAUUCUUCUUGAUGCAGAGCAUGCUUUUGAUCCAACGUAUUCUAAAGCUUUAGCAGUGUUGAU
Long non-coding RNA from Vicia villosa (hairy vetch), 1209 nucleotides. RefSeq lists it as uncharacterized. The transcript has 3 exons. The record is from RefSeq and is a predicted model, not a curated record. NCBI's taxonomy places the organism in Eukaryota, Viridiplantae, Streptophyta, Magnoliopsida, Fabales, Fabaceae.